CGGAGGGUGCAAGCGUUGUCCGGAUUUAUUGGGUUUAAAGGGUGCGUAGGCGGCUAUUUAAGUCAGUGGUGAAAUCCUGCAGCUCAACUGUAGAACAGCCAUUGAUACUGAAUAGCUUGAGUACAGACGAGGUAGGCGGAAUUUAUGGUGUAGCGGUGAAAUGCAUAGAUACCAUAAAGAACCCCUAUUGCGAAGGCAGCUUACUAGGCUGUAACUGACGCUGAGGCACGAAAGCGUGGGGAUCAAACAGGAUUAGAUACCCUGGUAGUCCACGCCGUAAACGAUGAUUACUCGAUGUUCGCGAUAUACAGUGAGCGUCCAAGCGAAAGCGUUAAGUAAUCCACCUGGGAAGUACGAUCGCAAGAUUG
This 368-nucleotide ribosomal RNA is filed under the name uncultured organism. Its description in RNAcentral is "bacterial SSU rRNA". It matches the Rfam family "Bacterial small subunit ribosomal RNA", at positions 526 to 896 of the family's 1533-position model. The record is from RNAcentral.